GGGACGACAUGGGCCUAAAGGCGUACAUGGCGACGCUGGUGCUCGUGGGCGUCCUGGUGACAAAGGAUUCCCUGGUUUACCUGGUCCAACUGGAAGGAAGGUGUGUACUGAAGGUGUGAUCGUAAUUUAUACAGCUCUGCUUAUCUUUGCCCUGUACAUGAUCCAGGUAGGUACAGUAUAGAUACAAAUCUUAUUAGAGUCACACUGACCUGCAGUACCCUGAUGUGCAGUAUUCAAACAGCAAAGUACAGUAGGGUCAUGCUGAAGCAUUGACAAUAUGGGAUUUAAAAUAUGAUUUAGACCUCAAGUACAUUAAGCUUAUUAGAGUUAAAUGUGCUUUCUUAAGCGCUGCUCCUAUCAACAGGGUAUGAAAGGAAUUCAGGGAAUAUCAGGACUGAAAGGUGUGAAAGGUCGGAGAGGACCUCCUGGAAAACCAGGUAUUCCUGUUCAGCAGAUACCAGGACAUCGUACUUCACCUCAUGCUCAGAGAAGAGGAUCACAAAAUAAAGCAAGGUCAUUAUCCAGAAAGUCUCGAUUUGACAAGCCUGAAGAUGAGUUUGAGGAAAAUAGCUUCUC
Puntigrus tetrazona (Sumatra barb) is the source of this 576-nucleotide long non-coding RNA. RefSeq lists it as uncharacterized. NCBI's taxonomy places the organism in Eukaryota, Metazoa, Chordata, Actinopteri, Cypriniformes, Cyprinidae. The transcript has 5 exons. The record is from RefSeq and is a predicted model, not a curated record.